GAUGAACGCUGGCGGCGUGCCUAAUACAUGCAAGUCGAGCGAACGGACGAGAAGCUUGCUUCUCUGAUGUUAGCGGCGGACGGGUGAGUAACAUGUGGAUAACCUACCUAUAAGACUGGGAUAACUUCGGGAAACCGGAGCUAAUACCGGAUGAUAUUUUGAACCGCAUGGUUCAAAAGUGAAAGACGGUCUUGCUGUCACUUAUAGAUGGAUCAGCGUUGCAUUAGCUAGUUGGUAAGGUAACGACUUACCAAGGCAACGAUGCAUAGCCGACCUGAGAGGGUGAUCGGCCACACUGGAACUGAGACACGGUCCAGACUCCUACGGGAGGCAGCAGUAGGGAAUCUUCCGCAAUGGGCGAAAGCCUGACGGAGCAACGCCGCGUGAGUGAUGAAGGUCUUCGGAUCGUAAAACUCUGUCAUUAGGAAAGAACAAAUGUGUAAGUAACUGUGCAGAUCUUGACGGUACCUAAAGAGAAAGCCACGGCUAACUACGUG
This 497-nucleotide ribosomal RNA is filed under the name uncultured bacterium. Its description in RNAcentral is "partial 16S ribosomal RNA". It matches the Rfam family "Bacterial small subunit ribosomal RNA", at positions 28 to 507 of the family's 1533-position model. The record is from RNAcentral.